GGAACAUUCUCAAGGAUAGAUCACAUGUUAGGCCACAAAGCAAGUCUCAGUAAAUUUAAAAAGAUUGGAAAAAAACACAAAAUCCAUGGAGGCUCAACACCAUGAUACUCAACAGCCAAUGGGUCAAAGAAAUCAAAGAGGAAAUCAAAAUACAUAGAGACAAAUGAAACUAAAACCAACAGUCCAAUGUCUUGGGGACACAGCUAAAGCUUUUACAAGAGGAAAAUUAAUACUAAUACAUACUUUU
Long non-coding RNA from Herpailurus yagouaroundi (jaguarundi), 247 nucleotides. RefSeq lists it as uncharacterized. Lineage: Eukaryota; Metazoa; Chordata; Mammalia; Carnivora; Felidae. The record is from RefSeq and is a predicted model, not a curated record. The transcript has 2 exons.